GUGGGAGGGGGCUUGCUCCCGAUGGCGGCGGAUCAGUCACUUAUGUAUCGGCUGAUGUACCGCAUCGGGAGCAAGCCCCCUCCCAC
This 86-nucleotide unclassified non-coding RNA is filed under the name Pseudomonas trivialis. The record is from RNAcentral. Lineage: Bacteria; Pseudomonadati; Pseudomonadota; Gammaproteobacteria; Pseudomonadales; Pseudomonadaceae.